UACGUAGGGGGCAAGCGUUGUUCGGAAUUACUGGGCGUAAAGCGCGCGUAGGCGGUCUGAAAAGUCAGAUGUGAAAGCCCCGGGCUCAACUUGGGAACUGCAUUUGAGACUGCUCUGCUCGGGUGCGGAAGAGGGAAGCGGAAUUUCCGGUGUAGCGGUGAAAUGCGUAGAUAUCGGAAGGAACACCAGUGGCGAAAGCGGCUUCCUGGUCCGACACCGACGUUCAGGCACGAAAGCGUGGGGAGCAAACAGG
This 253-nucleotide ribosomal RNA is filed under the name uncultured bacterium. Its description in RNAcentral is "partial 16S ribosomal RNA". It matches the Rfam family "Bacterial small subunit ribosomal RNA", at positions 524 to 776 of the family's 1533-position model. The record is from RNAcentral.